This is a long non-coding RNA of Salvia hispanica, 1009 nucleotides long. RefSeq lists it as uncharacterized. Lineage: Eukaryota; Viridiplantae; Streptophyta; Magnoliopsida; Lamiales; Lamiaceae. The record is from RefSeq and is a predicted model, not a curated record.
UCCCUCAUUCCUCCUAGUUAUUAGCGCAGUAGGAUUCUGCCUUGGUUUUAUUUACUGAGUUUGGCGAUUUGUGAGGAAAUGCCUUGCUAUUUGGAAAAACUAGAUGGUGGAUUAUGUUGUUAAGCUUGUUGUUUCUAUGAUUGAAGUUUCACUAGUCCGGAACUACUCUAUGUAUUCUGCUAGGAGAGUUGAUCUCAUGAUUAUGGGGCUUUCUACUUGUGUGAAGCUGAACUUAAUGUGGUUAUACUUGUGCUCCUAAGUUCUUAUACUAUGUGGUGAUUGAUCUAAACAUGAUGCAAGAUGAGGUGUUGGGGUGUUGAGGUGUUUACCUCUUGAUGUAGUGAAAGAAAGGAGGCUGCCCUUGCUGCUGCUUGAGAUCAGCUCCUCAGGCACCAAGCUUUCUACUCUCUCUAAACUUUGCUGAUUAUUUUGAGGAGUGUGGGAGGGAGUUCGAAUGUGGUGUGGGGAGGAUUUUUAUAGGCUGAUUGUGUACUUGUAAGCCUUAAUGAGGCUGUUGUAUCACUUGUUGUUAUGCUGCAGAAUAUCUCACCUUUAGUGAUCUCUUUGUCUCUCCUUCAUGGCUGCAAAACUUGUAUUUUUUUAUGGGUACCUAGUACUAGUUAUUAAAUGGGGUUGUUUGAUUUGCAGAGAGGCAGGGGAUGUUGUGCUAAGGCUGCAUUAUGAAGGGUGUGCAGGCUGGAAUCCCCCCCCCCCCCUUUUUGGCAAGUUCUUGGUCUUCAAGGAUAAAGAAGGGUGAGAGGAAAACUUAGCUUCCACCCAACUGCACCUCGAGUAGCUCGGAUUCACCGAAUGGCCGACGGGCUGCCCGAAACGGGCCCUAACUUGGGCCUGGAGAAACAAGGCCGAGAAGUGCUCUACAUUUUUAUAUACAUUUUUCUUUCCAUGUCUCUUUCUUUUUCUUUGGGGACUUGAUCCAUGUAACUUAUCUUAUUAAUUGUUGUUCACUAACCAAAAGUCUUGUUCUAUAUUUUGAAGUGUUUGUUGGUUA